GGCGAACGCUGGCGGCGUGCCUAAUACAUGCAAGUAGAACGCACAGUUUAUACCGUAGCUUGCUACACCAUAGACUGUGAGUUGCGAACGGGUGAGUAACGCGUAGGUAACCUGCCUGGUAGCGGGGGAUAACUAUUGGAAACGAUAGCUAAUACCGCAUAAUAUUAAUUAUUGCAUGAUAAUUAAUUGAAAGGUGCAAUUGCACCACAACCAGAUGGACCUGCGUUGUAUUAGCUAGUAGGUGAGGUAACGGCUCACCUAGGCGACGAUACAUAGCCGACCUGAGAGGGUGAUCGGCCACACUGGGACUGAGACACGGCCCAGACUCCUACGGGAGGCAGCAGUAGGGAAUCUUCGGCAAUGGACGAAAGUCUGACCGAGCAACGCCGCGUGAGUGAAGAAGGUUUUCGGAUCGUAAAGCUCUGUUGUAAGAGAAGAACGGGUGUGAGAGUGGAAAGUUCACACUGUGACGGUAUCUUACCAGAAAGGGACGGCUAACUACGUG
This 505-nucleotide ribosomal RNA is filed under the name uncultured bacterium. Its description in RNAcentral is "partial 16S ribosomal RNA". It matches the Rfam family "Bacterial small subunit ribosomal RNA", at positions 28 to 507 of the family's 1533-position model. The record is from RNAcentral.